GCAGUCGAGCGGAUGACGGGAGCUUGCUCCUUGAUUCAGCGGCGGACGGGUGAGUAAUGCCUAGGAAUCUGCCUGGUAGUGGGGGACAACGUUUCGAAAGGAACGCUAAUACCGCAUACGUCCUACGGGAGAAAGCAGGGGACCUUCGGGCCUUGCGCUAUCAGAUGAGCCUAGGUCGGAUUAGCUAGUUGGUGGGGUAAUGGCUCACCAAGGCGACGAUCCGUAACUGGUCUGAGAGGAUGAUCAGUCACACUGGAACUGAGACACGGUCCAGACUCCUACGGGAGGCAGCAGUGGGGAAUAUUGGACAAUGGGCGAAAGCCUGAUCCAGCCAUGCCGCGUGUGUGAAGAAGGUCUUCGGAUUGUAAAGCACUUUAAGUUGGGAGGAAGGGCAGUAAGCUAAUACCUUGCUGUUUUGACGUUACCGACAGAAUAAGCACCGGCUAACUCUGUGCCAGCAGCCGCGGUAAUACAGAGGGUGCAAGCGUUAAUCGGAAUUACUGGGCGUAAAGCGCGCGUAGGUGG
Molecule: ribosomal RNA, 525 nt
Filed under: Pseudomonas plecoglossicida
Lineage: Bacteria; Pseudomonadati; Pseudomonadota; Gammaproteobacteria; Pseudomonadales; Pseudomonadaceae
Description: bacterial SSU rRNA
Rfam family: Bacterial small subunit ribosomal RNA
Source: RNAcentral